RNAcentral lists this transfer RNA (84 nucleotides) under Candidatus Merdousia gallistercoris. RNAcentral describes it as "tRNA-Leu". It matches the Rfam family "tRNA". From Rfam's summary of the family: Transfer RNA (tRNA) molecules are approximately 80 nucleotides in length. Lineage: Bacteria; Pseudomonadati; Verrucomicrobiota; Opitutia; Opitutales; Intestinicryptomonadaceae. The record is from RNAcentral.
GCCCGGAUGGCGGAAUUGGCAGACGCAGUGGACUCAAAAUCCACCGAUGGCAACAUCGUGAGGGUUCGACCCCCUCUCCGGGUA